This 775-nucleotide ribosomal RNA is filed under the name uncultured bacterium. RNAcentral describes it as "bacterial SSU rRNA". It matches the Rfam family "Bacterial small subunit ribosomal RNA", at positions 28 to 907 of the family's 1533-position model. The record is from RNAcentral.
GAUUAACGCUGGCGGCGUGCAUAACACGUUCAAGUCGAACGGAGUGGCGGACGGGUGAGUAACGCGUGAGCAACCUGCCCCUGUGUGGGGGAUAACGACGGGAAACUGUCGCUAAUACCGCAUACACAGGGAUGGGCUCGCGUCUGAUUAGAUAGUUGGUGAGGUAACGGCUCACCAAGUCGACGAUCGGUAGCCGGACUGAGAGGUUGAACGGCCACAUUGGAACUGAGAUACGGUCCAGACUCCUACGGGAGGCAGCAGUGGGGAAUAUUGGGCAAUGGGCGAAAGCCUGACCCAGCGACGCCGCGUGAGGGAAGAAGGUCUUCGGAUUGUAAACCUUAAACAACAGGGACGCGGUACCUGUUAGGAAGCCACGGCUAACUACGUGCCAGCAGCCGCGGUAAUACGUAGGUGGCGAGCGUUAUCCGGAUUUACUGGGUGUAAAGGGUGUGUAGGCGGAGGAGCAAGUCAGGCGUGGAAAUUACGGGCCCAACCCGUAACUUGCGCUUGAAACUGUUCCCCUUGAGUGUCGGAGAGGUAAAUGGAAUUCCCAGUGUAGCGGUGAAAUGCGUAGAUAUUGGGAGGAACACCGGUGGCGAAGGCGGUUUACUGGACGACAACUGACGCUGAGACACGAAAGUGUGGGGAGCAAACAGGAUUAGAUACCCUGGUAGUCCACACCGUAAACGAUGAAUGCUAGGUGUGGGGUCGUGCCGCAGCUAACGCAAUAAGCAUUCCACCUGGGGAGUACGGCCGCAAGGUUGCAACUCAAAUG